Molecule: transfer RNA, 87 nt
Filed under: Methanobacteriota archaeon
Lineage: Archaea; Methanobacteriati; Methanobacteriota
Also listed under: 2 other names
Description: Euryarchaeota archaeon tRNA-Ser
Rfam family: tRNA
About the family: Transfer RNA (tRNA) molecules are approximately 80 nucleotides in length. Their secondary structure includes four short double-helical elements and three loops (D, anti-codon, and T loops).
Source: RNAcentral
GCGGGGGUCGCAUAGUCUGGCCAUUGCGUUGGAUUGCUAAUCCAAUGGGCUCGUCCCACGGGGGUUCAAAUCCCCCCCCCCGCGCCA